Molecule: transfer RNA, 73 nt
Filed under: Paramuricea clavata
Lineage: Eukaryota; Metazoa; Cnidaria; Anthozoa; Malacalcyonacea; Plexauridae
Rfam family: tRNA
About the family: Transfer RNA (tRNA) molecules are approximately 80 nucleotides in length. Their secondary structure includes four short double-helical elements and three loops (D, anti-codon, and T loops). Further hydrogen bonds mediate the characteristic L-shaped molecular structure. tRNAs have two regions of fundamental functional importance: the anti-codon, which is responsible for specific mRNA codon recognition, and the 3' end, to which the tRNAs corresponding amino acid is attached (by aminoacyl-tRNA synthetases). tRNAs cope with the degeneracy of the genetic code in two manners: having more than one tRNA (with a specific anti-codon) for a particular amino acid; and 'wobble' base-pairing, i.e. permitting non-standard base-pairing at the 3rd anti-codon position.
Source: Rfam by way of RNAcentral
GGCCGCGUAGCUCAGUUGGCAGAGCAUUGGGCUAGUAUUCCAAAGGUUGUAGGUUCGAUUCCCACCGUGGCCG